GCGACAUUGAUGUAAUGGCAGCAUUCACCCCUGUGGAGGGUGCCGAGAGGGUUCAAAUCCCUCAUGUCGCCCA
RNAcentral lists this transfer RNA (73 nucleotides) under Candidatus Campbellbacteria bacterium CG11_big_fil_rev_8_21_14_0_20_44_21. RNAcentral describes it as "tRNA-His". It matches the Rfam family "tRNA". From Rfam's summary of the family: Transfer RNA (tRNA) molecules are approximately 80 nucleotides in length. The record is from RNAcentral. Lineage: Bacteria; Candidatus Campbelliibacteriota.